RNAcentral lists this ribosomal RNA (429 nucleotides) under Pseudomonadota bacterium. Its description in RNAcentral is "Proteobacteria bacterium partial 16S ribosomal RNA". It matches the Rfam family "Bacterial small subunit ribosomal RNA", at positions 355 to 776 of the family's 1533-position model. Lineage: Bacteria; Pseudomonadati; Pseudomonadota. The record is from RNAcentral.
UGGGGAAUAUUGGACAAUGGGCGAAAGCCUGAUCCAGCCAUGCCGCGUGUGUGAAGAAGGUCUUCGGAUUGUAAAGCACUUUAAGUUGGGAGGAAGGGCAGUAAGCGAAUACCUUGCUGUUUUGACGUUACCGACAGAAUAAGCACCGGCUAACUCUGUGCCAGCAGCCGCGGUAAUACAGAGGGUGCAAGCGUUAGUCGGAAUUACUGGGCGUAAAGCGCGCGUAGGUGGUUCGUUAAGUUGAAUGUGAAAGCCCCGGGCUCAACCUAAGCACUGCAUACCAAACUGGCGAGCUAGACUAGGGCAGAGGGUGGGGAAAUUUCCUGUGUAGCGGUGAAGUGCAUAGAUUUGGGAAGGAACACCAGUGGCGAAGGCGACCACCUGGGCUCAUCCUGACACUGAGGUGCGAAAGCGUGGGGAGCAAACAGG